This 216-nucleotide non-coding RNA is filed under the name Desulfotomaculum sp. Lineage: Bacteria; Bacillati; Bacillota; Clostridia; Eubacteriales; Desulfotomaculaceae. The record is from RNAcentral.
UAAUUCUUUUUAGUAUAAGGCGCCCUUAAGCAAAAGGGAGAAUAGGGAAACCGGUGACGCUUUUAAAGCAGAAUCCGGUGCGGACCCACCACUGUAAACGGCGACAAUUUUCCACACUCUAAGUUCACAUAGAGUUGCCACUGUGCGUAGAGCAUGGGAAGGCGGAAAUGAGGAUGAGCCGCAAGCCAGGAGACCUGCCUUAUACUAUUUAAUGGA